GCUGCGGGGCGAGCAGCAGGCACCCUCCGGCCCCGGCCAUGUGGCUGUGCGUUGGCGGCGGGCCUCGUGGCCGCACCGUUCAAGGUGCAACAAAGUCUGAGGUUUGAAGAUACGUGAAGGUCACCAAAAAUGUGUGAAGAAUGGCUAUGGAAAAACCACCAGGACUGCAGCUACUUGUGGAACCAAGAAUUACAUCCUUUAGGUGUAGCUGCCGAUGAAUGUUCACGUCCCUGACCCCCGUGGUCUUCUGCUUUGUGUCAAGUGUGGCGAAAUCAUUUUGGGAAGUAAAAUGAAAUGUCAUGAAGACAGCAGUUGAAGCAAGUGAAGAAAACUUUAUUUGACAUUGAUACUUCGUAGUCAUGAAGAAAACAUGUUUGGAUUACUAAUUUGAUGGAAAAUAAAGUUUGUUUUUUAAAAAUA
Echinops telfairi (small Madagascar hedgehog) is the source of this 420-nucleotide long non-coding RNA. RefSeq lists it as uncharacterized. The transcript has 4 exons. Lineage: Eukaryota; Metazoa; Chordata; Mammalia; Afrosoricida; Tenrecidae. The record is from RefSeq and is a predicted model, not a curated record.